UCAGCCUCUCACGCGGCACUAACUGACUGAACUCCCCCAGGGCCGGAAGGCAGCAAGGGUAGGUGAGCUCUGGUGGGUGCGUGGGAGGCGUUUUA
RNAcentral lists this signal recognition particle RNA (95 nucleotides) under Streptomyces monashensis. RNAcentral describes it as "Streptomyces sp. MUSC 1 Bacterial small signal recognition particle RNA". It matches the Rfam family "Bacterial small signal recognition particle RNA". Rfam says of the family: The signal recognition particle (SRP) is a universally conserved ribonucleoprotein involved in the co-translational targeting of proteins to membranes. Archaeal SRP consists of a 7S RNA and homologues of the eukaryotic SRP19 and SRP54 proteins. Lineage: Bacteria; Bacillati; Actinomycetota; Actinomycetes; Kitasatosporales; Streptomycetaceae. The record is from Rfam by way of RNAcentral.